Neodiprion virginianus is the source of this 1314-nucleotide long non-coding RNA. RefSeq lists it as uncharacterized. The transcript is spliced from 3 exons. NCBI's taxonomy places the organism in Eukaryota, Metazoa, Arthropoda, Insecta, Hymenoptera, Diprionidae. The record is from RefSeq and is a predicted model, not a curated record.
GUUGAGCAUAAAUAAUUGUCAGCGGUAUUCGGUACCUAGAAAGAGAAAAAUGAACAGUCCCGACUUCAGUCCGUAGUAUUUGUUUCUGCUGAUUAAUUUGUUUCGUAAUCAAUGUAAGCUAGUAGGUGAAAAUAUACUGCGAACAUGCGUGUGUAUUAGGUUCGCUCAAACAAGUACGCGUUUCGCGUUUGCCGCUUCUUGCUUGUCGAUUUUUUUUCUCCAUCUCAUACCUUAUUCUCACCUUCCGUGAAACUGUACAGUAACUCAGUUUGUCACGAAUAAGCGCGAGGCAAGACAUCGCGCAAAAAAGUCGCGAGUCUUUGGCCCAGGCCUUGACCGCUGGCCUGAUGAAUGCCUGCGUACAGUAAGUAACAUACGUCUUGAGUCAGUGCUGACGGCAAGUGCAGGCGUCGUAGCUUCAGAGGCUUGUCAGAUUUAUGCAAAAGGUGUGCAUCUCGUGACGACGAGUGACGCAGCAUGAGCAGAAAGUUGUUAGCUUUGGUACCGCACGCAGUGUCACCCAGAGGUCUUGGCUUCCUGAAGAGUGUUAAGAAAUCAAGCAUGGUUCCGGGAAUUCGAAUACCUUAUAGUACCGCGGGUCAGCCGAACUCCGUUAGUCCACCCUGAUCAUGCAUAUACAAGUGCGUGGGUUAAGGUAAUCGGCUUUUCUACUGACCCUAGGAAACCAGUUUCGGUUUCGACCGAGCCGCACGGGUUUCUUUUACUAUCAGAAAUAUCUAUAAACCCAUCGCACGACGCCAUCUAGCCGUUGAAGAUACCCUGCUACAAGAGAGUCGUUUUAAUUAUUAUGAAACAAUCCACGUUUUGGCCUCCGACGAGGGACUCCUUCGCGAGACCAGAAGUGGCUGGUUUGUUAUUACCUCCAAUGAAUUAUUACGCAUGUACAGAACAAUCUACGCAUCCGAAUGACGAGGUUCGUUUUUGUGAUCCUAUGCUGCCAAGAGAACACAGAAGCCAUGAUUAUAUUUCAUCUUGCUCUUAAGUUCUGCUCAUCUUGAGGUCAAAAAGCGUUGAAGCACAACAAGAGGUACGAGCUACACGCUAUUAGUUAUAGUGAUGACGUAGCUGUACCUGCUCGCCGAGAUCAGGAGACGUGUAACGAAAGUUCUACAUACGCGAGCGUGACAUAUAUACAUAUACAUGCCCAUAUAAUAAACGUGACGUCGUACCGGUUAUUUUGCAGCCUGUCGGUAUGUAUACGAACAUAAACACUGCGAAAUGAGCUGAUACAAUAAAACCAUGUACCGUUAAGUGAAAAAAAAAAAAAAAUUAAACUCAGAAUAUAUCAUUACU